AUACGGAGGGUGCAAGCGUUGUUCGGAAUUAUUGGGCGUAAAGAGCAUGUAGGCGGACUGUUAAGUCUGGUGUGAAAGCCCGGGGCUCAACCCCGGAAGUGCAUUGGAUACUGGCAGUCUUGAGUAUGGGAGAGGAAAGUGGAAUUCCGAGUGUAGGAGUGAGAUCCGUAGAUAUUCGGAGGAACACCAGUGGCGAAGGCGGCUUUCUGGACCAAUACUGACGCUGAGAUGCGAAAGCGUGGGGAGCGAACAGGAUUAGAAACCCUAGUAGUCC
This 274-nucleotide ribosomal RNA is filed under the name uncultured bacterium. RNAcentral describes it as "partial 16S ribosomal RNA". It matches the Rfam family "Bacterial small subunit ribosomal RNA", at positions 523 to 796 of the family's 1533-position model. The record is from RNAcentral.